UCCACAGUCAGCCAAGCAGCGUGAAGCUCCUCGGCUGUGUCCCAGUUCCUGUACACACCACGCUUCAGUCAUACACUGAACAGGAGAUUGGAGCCUACUACAGAAGUUCCUGGUAACAUUUCAGGGGAUCCCAGUAACAGUUGCCUGACAUGGGGCUUAAACCACCAACAGUCACCCAUUCAAUAAGACUGCUCAGAGUGGAAGAGAAAUAUAGACAACAUAGAGCCCCUCAAGUAACAAAUGAUAAGGACAUCUGACAGGAAGCAAAACCAGAGAAGAGUCAGGUGCUUCUGACACAAGAAGAGAGAGCUUGAACAGACAAAAUGAGGUUUAAUACAAGGGGAUACUUUAAAAUUUAAACAGCUAAAGCCAAGUUUGUUAUAGAAGAUUUACAAAUAUAUGACCAUAGACCAAGAUGGUGGAUUUGCUGCAAGCAACAUGAUGUGACACCCCUGCUGACAGCCAUGCAAAGGCUACAUCUGAGAAACUCCUCUUGCCUGUGAUGGCCCUGAGACUUUCGGAGAUCACCAGACCUGAUACACUGCCUACUGAUGAGACCCAAAAACAGGCCCAAAGACAAUCACAGCUCACCCUGAUACAGUUGCUGCCAUUUUAACAGCAAAAUCUUUAUUGCUAUUUUAAUCCAAUAAACUUUG
Molecule: long non-coding RNA, 656 nt
Organism: Heterocephalus glaber (naked mole-rat)
Lineage: Eukaryota; Metazoa; Chordata; Mammalia; Rodentia; Bathyergidae
Source: Ensembl